CAAGGUCGAACGGUAACAGGUCUUCGGAUGCUGACGAGUGGCGAGCGGGUGAGUAAUACAUCGGAACGUGCCCGAUCGUGGGGGAUAACGGAGCGAAAGCUUUGCUAAUACCGCAUACGAUCUACGGAUGAAAGCAGGGGACCGCAAGGCCUUGCGCGGACGGAGCGGCCGAUGGCAGAUUAGGUAGUUGGUGGGAUAAAAGCUUACCAAGCCGACGAUCUGUAGCUGGUCUGAGAGGACGACCAGCCACACUGGGACUGAGACACGGCCCAGACUCCUACGGGAGGCAGCAGUGGGGAAUUUUGGACAAUGGGCGAAAGCCUGAUCCAGCCAUGCCGCGUGCAGGAUGAAGGCCUUCGGGUUGUAAACUGCUUUUGUACGGAACGAAAAGACUCCUUCUAAUAAAGGGGGUCCAUGACGGUACCGUAAGAAUAAGCACCGGCUAACUACGUGCUAGCAGCCGCGGUAAUACGUAGGGUGCAAGCGUUAAUCGGAAUUACUGGGCGUAAAGCGUGCGCAGGCGGUUAUAUAAGACAGAUGUGAAAUCCCCGGGCUCAACCUGGGAACUGCAUUUGUGACUGUAUAGCUAGAGUACGGCAGAGGGGGAUGGAAUUCCGCGUGUAGCAGUGAAAUGCGUACAUAUGCGGAGGAACACCGAUGGCGAAGGCAAUCCCCUGGGCCUGUUACUGACGCUCAUGCACGAAAGCGUGGGGAGCUAAACAGGAUUAGAUACCCUGGUAGUCC
RNAcentral lists this ribosomal RNA (744 nucleotides) under uncultured bacterium. RNAcentral's name for it is "bacterial SSU rRNA". It matches the Rfam family "Bacterial small subunit ribosomal RNA", at positions 58 to 796 of the family's 1533-position model. The record is from RNAcentral.